UGGGGGAUAUUGCACAAUGGGGGAAACCCUGAUGCAGCGACGCCGCGUGGAGGAAGAAGGUUUUCGGAUUGUAAACUCCUGUCGUUAGGGACGAAUCAUGACGGUACCUAACAAGAAAGCACCGGCUAACUACGUGCCAGCAGCCGCGGUAAAACGUAGGGUGCAAGCGUUGUCCGGAAUUACUGGGUGUAAAGGGAGCGCAGGCGGACCGGCAAGUUGGAAGUGAAAACCAUGGGCUCAACCCAUGAAUUGCUUUCAAAACUGCUGGCCUUGAGUAGUGCAGAGGUAGGUGGAAUUCCCGGUGUAGCGGUGGAAUGCGUAGAUAUCGGGAGGAACACCAGUGGCGAAGGCGACCUACUGGGCACCAACUGACGCUGAGGCUCGAAAGCAUGGGUAGCAAACAGG
This 405-nucleotide ribosomal RNA is filed under the name uncultured bacterium. RNAcentral's name for it is "partial 16S ribosomal RNA". It matches the Rfam family "Bacterial small subunit ribosomal RNA", at positions 355 to 776 of the family's 1533-position model. The record is from RNAcentral. RNAcentral also lists the same sequence under 1 other name.